This 74-nucleotide microRNA precursor is filed under the name Myotis davidii. Its description in RNAcentral is "mir-9193 microRNA precursor family". It matches the Rfam family "mir-9193 microRNA precursor family". The record is from Rfam by way of RNAcentral. Lineage: Eukaryota; Metazoa; Chordata; Mammalia; Chiroptera; Vespertilionidae.
CUCAGGGAGGGGAGGCCCCUCAGUCCAGAUUGUGAGAGGGCACAGGCCAGGCCGAGGGACCCCACCGGUGCAUG